This 314-nucleotide unclassified non-coding RNA is filed under the name uncultured fungus. Its description in RNAcentral is "partial contains small subunit ribosomal RNA, internal transcribed spacer 1, and 5.8S ribosomal RNA". The stretch from base 1 to 73 matches the Rfam family "Eukaryotic small subunit ribosomal RNA", at positions 1759 to 1831 of the family's 1831-position model. The record is from RNAcentral. Lineage: Eukaryota; Fungi.
GCAAACUUGGUCAUUUAGAGGAAGUAAAAGUCGUAACAAGGUUUCCGUAGGUGAACCUGCGGAAGGAUCAUUAACGAGUUAGGGUCUUCUAGGCCCGACCUCCCAACCCCAUGUUUACUAAACCUAUGUUGCUUCGGCUGGCCCGUCUCACGACCGCUGGGGGACCGUAAGACGUCCUCUGGCCCGCGCCCGCCGGUGGCCAAACUCUGAUAAAUUCUGAUAAAACUGUGUUAACUGUCUGAGUUCCAUUCUUAAAUAAAGCAAAAACUUUCAACAACGGAUCUCUUGGUUCUGGCAUCGAUGAAGAACGCAGC